Molecule: ribosomal RNA, 2940 nt
Filed under: Proteiniborus sp. MB09-C3
Lineage: Bacteria; Bacillati; Bacillota; Clostridia; Eubacteriales
Description: 23S ribosomal RNA
Rfam family: Bacterial large subunit ribosomal RNA
Source: RNAcentral
GGUCAAGAUACUAAGAGCAUAGGGUGAAUGCCUUGGCACUAGGAGCCGAAGAAGGACGGGAUAAGCACCGAAAUGCUACGGGGAGUCGCAAGUAGACAUAGAUCCGUAGAUAUCCGAAUGGGGAAACCCACCUAAGGAGAACCUUAGGAAUCAUCUACUGAAUCCAUAGGUAGAUAGAAGGCAGACCAGGGGAACUGAAACAUCUAAGUACCCUGAGGAAGAGAAAGAAACAUCGAUUCCCUAAGUAGCGGCGAGCGAACGGGGAAGAGCCCAAACCAGUAGAGGUAACUUUACUGGGGUUGCGGACCAGCAUAACGGUAGGGAAAAUCUAUAGUAGAAGAGGUCUGGAAAGGCCCACCACAGAAGGUGAAAGUCCAGUAUACGAAAUAGAUAACCCACCAGCUGAGAUCCAGAGUACCACGAGACACGAGAAACCUUGUGGGAAGCAGGGGGGCCCACCCCCCAAGGCUAAAUACUACCUAGUGACCGAUAGAGAAUAGUACCGUGAGGGAAAGGUGAAAAGAACCCCGGAGGGGAGUGAAAAAGAACCUGAAACCCUAUGUUUACAAGCAGUGGAAGUUCUAUAUAUGAACGACCGCGUACUUUUUGUAGAACGGGCCAACGAGUUACGAUAUGCAGCAAGGUUAAGUACUUAAGGUAUGGAGCCGUAGGGAAACCGAGUCUAAAUAGGGCGAUUAAGUUGCAUGUCGUAGACCCGAAACCGGGUGACCUACCCAUGGGCAGGUUGAAGUUGAGGUAAAACUCAAUGGAGGACCGAACCGCUUAGCGUUUAAAAGCUAUCGGAUGACCUGUGGGUAGCGGUGAAAUUCCAAUCGAACCCGGAUAUAGCUGGUUCUCCUCGAAAUAGCUUUAGGGCUAGCCUCAAGGAAAGUGACGUGGAGGUAGAGCACUGACUGGUCUAGGGGCGCGCAUGCGUUACCAAAACCUAUCAAACUCCGAAUGCCACAGUCAUAUACUUGGGAGUCAGACUAUGUGAGAUAAGUUUCAUAGUCAAAAGGGAAACAGCCCAGACCACCAUCUAAGGUCCCAAAGUACAAGUUAAGUGGGAAAGGAUGUAAGACUACACAGACAACCAGGAUGUUGGCUUAGAAGCAGCCACACAUUCAAAGAGUGCGUAAUAGCUCACUGGUCGAGUGGUCUUGCGCCGAAGAUUACCGGGGCUCAAACUAGUCACCGAAGAUGUGGGAUACGUAAGUAUCGGUAGAGGAGCAUUGUAUACAGGUAGAAGCUAUACCGAAAGGAGUAGUGGACAGUAUACAAGAGAGAAUGUUGGCAUGAGUAGCGAGAGGUGAGUGAGAAUCUCACCCAUCGAAAGCCUAAGGUUUCCUGAGGAAGGCUCGUCCACUCAGGGUUAGUCGGGACCUAAGCCCAGGCCAAAAGGCGUAGGCGAUGGACAACAGGUUGAAAUUCCUGUACUACCAGAAGGCGCUAAAAGAGAAGGAGUGACGCAGGAGGAUAGGUUAAGCACACCGUUGGUUGAGUGUGCCUAAGCAAGUAGGGAGUAUCUAAAGGCAAAUCCGUAGAUACAAUAUCCUGAGAAGUGAUGGGGAGCGAAAUACAAGUAGCGAACUAACUGAAUCCACACUGCCAAGAAAAGCUUCUAUCAAGCCUAAAGGUACCCGUACCGCAAACCGACACAGGUAGGCGAGGAGAGAAUCCUAAGAUGAGCGGAAGAACUCUUGUUAAGGAACUCGGCAAAUUAACCCCGUAACUUCGGGAGAAGGGGUGCCGAGGGAGGUGAAGUGCAAGCCACAUAAGCCUCCUUCGGCCGCAGUGAAUAGGCCCAGGCGACUGUUUACCAAAAACACAGGUCUCUGCUAAAUCGAAAGAUGAAGUAUAGGGGCUGACACCUGCCCGGUGCUGGAAGGUUAAGGGGAAUGCUUAGCGCAAGCGAAGGUAAGAACUUAAGCCCCAGUAAACGGCGGCCGUAACUAUAACGGUCCUAAGGUAGCGAAAUUCCUUGUCGGGUAAGUUCCGACCCGCACGAAAGGUGUAACGAUCUGGGCACUGUCUCAACAAGAGAUCCGGUGAAAUUGUAGUACUCGUGAAGAUGCGAGUUACCCGCGACUAGACGGAAAGACCCCGUGGAGCUUUACUGCAAGCUGACAUUGGAUUUUGGUAUCCUAUGUACAGAAUAGGUGGGAGACAGAGAAAUCAGUGCGCCAGCAUUGGUGGAGUCGUCGUUGGGAUACCACCCUUAUGAUACUGAAGUUCUAACCAUAGGCCAUGAAACUGGUUUUGGGACACUGUCAGUUGGGCAGUUUGACUGGGGCGGUCGCCUCCUAAAAAGUAACGGAGGCGCUCAAAGGUUCCCUCAGCACGGUCGGAAAUCGUGCGAAGAGUGUAAAGGCAGAAGGGAGCUUGACUGCGAGACCUACAAGUCGAGCAGGAACGAAAGUUGGACUUAGUGAUCCGGUGGCGCCGAGUGGAAGGGCCAUCGCUCAACGGAUAAAAGCUACCCCGGGGAUAACAGGCUUAUCUCCCCCAAGAGUCCACAUCGACGGGGAGGUUUGGCACCUCGAUGUCGGCUCGUCUCAUCCUGGAGCUGUAGCAGGUUCCAAGGGUUGGGCUGUUCGCCCAUUAAAGAGGCACGCGAGCUGGGUUCAGAACGUCGUGAGACAGUUCGGUCCCUAUCUGUCGUGGGCGUAGGAAAUUUGAAAGGAGCUGUUCCUAGUACGAGAGGACCGGAAUGGACAGACCACUAGUGUAUCAGUUGUCCUGCCAAGGGCAUGGCUGAGUAGCCAAGUCUGGUAGGGAUAAGCGCUGAAGGCAUCUAAGCGCGAAGCCCCCCUUAAGAAAAGAUUUCCCAUCUGGUAAACAGAGUAAGACCCCAGAAAGACUAACUGGUUGAUAGGUCGUAGGUGUAAGAGCAGCAAUGCUUUAAGCUAAACGAUACUAAUAGGUCGAGGGCUUGACCAG